RNAcentral lists this ribosomal RNA (349 nucleotides) under uncultured bacterium. RNAcentral describes it as "bacterial SSU rRNA". It matches the Rfam family "Bacterial small subunit ribosomal RNA", at positions 775 to 1119 of the family's 1533-position model. The record is from RNAcentral.
AGAAAAUAGAUACCCAGGUAGUCCACGCCGUAAACUAUGGACGCUAGCUGUUAGAAGUAUCGACCCUUCUAGUAGCGAAAGCUAAACGCGUUAAGCGUCCCGCCUGUGGAGUACGAGCGCAAGCUUAAAACAUAAAGGAAUUGACGGGGACCCGCACAAGCGGUGGAGCGUGUUGUUUAAAUUCGAUGCUAAGCGAAGAACCUUACCCAGGUUUGACAUCCUGCUAAUUUCUCCGAAAGGAGAGAGUGCCUUCGGGCCGCGGUGACAGGUGUUGCAUGGCCGUCGUCAGCUCGUGUCGUGAGAUGUUUGGUUAAGUCCAUCAACGAGCGCAACCCUUUUGUUAGUUGUA